UACGUAGGGGGCGAGCGUUGUCCGGAAUCAUUGGGCGUAAAGCGCGUGUGGGCGGCCCGGUAAGUCCGCUGUGAAAGUCCAGGGCUCAACCCUGGGAUGCCGGUGGAUACUGUCGGGCUCGAGUCCGGAAGAGGCGAGUGGAAUUCCUGGUGUAGCGGUGGAAUGCGCAGAUAUCAGGAGGAACACCAAUAGCGAAGGCAGCUCGCUGGGACGGUACUGACGCUAAGGCGCGAAAGCGUGGGGAGCGAACAGG
Molecule: ribosomal RNA, 253 nt
Filed under: uncultured bacterium
Lineage: Bacteria
Description: partial 16S ribosomal RNA
Rfam family: Bacterial small subunit ribosomal RNA
Source: RNAcentral